Phyllopteryx taeniolatus (common seadragon) is the source of this 2736-nucleotide long non-coding RNA. RefSeq lists it as uncharacterized. The transcript is spliced from 3 exons. The record is from RefSeq and is a predicted model, not a curated record. Lineage: Eukaryota; Metazoa; Chordata; Actinopteri; Syngnathiformes; Syngnathidae.
GAGCACCUGCACCGCACACGCACACGAAAUCAGGGAGUGAGCACACGCACCGAGGAGAUCAGUGACGUCACUGGAGUUAGGCGCGGGACAAGAAAAACCUUUGAACACGUGAAACCGAUCACUUUGGUGCGCUCGCGCCACGCUGUGGACACUUCAUUAGGUACACCCACGGCAUCCAAUGACCGCAAAUCUUUGCUUAUUGUUUGACACUGCAUUCAUUAGACAUGCUUUUAUGAUUGUAUUUCAUUAAAUAGAUCAUAUAUUGCUCCUUUCGUUGUUCAUUUUGAAUUUGCAACCCAUUUUUAAUCAUCUAUUUUGGUUUAGUUUGGUUCCCUGUAGCACUUUGAGUUAUUCGUAUGUAAAGUGAAAAACCCAAAAAGUUUUCAAUAGAUUAUUUUUCUGUCCAAUCAGAUUCCAGGUUCUCCGUGUUGUUGCCAUGCCAAUCUAAUCUGUAGUUAGGUCAAUGUAAUGAGCGUCACUAUUCAUGGCUCUGCUUCGCUAACCAAUCACAUCACGGCAGCAUUUUCCUGUCAUCUGAUUGGUUGUCAGAGGAAAAGUUGUUCCAGCCAAACUCGACUAGCGAAACGCAUCGACGCCCAAUCUUUACAUUAACGCAGUUAAAAAUCCGCAUCUCUGGAAGAGGCGCCGCCGGGUCCGGCCGUGGGUUCCCUGUUCGAUUCCUCGUCUCCAACAAGCUGGCAAGCCAGACCAGCUGGCUUUGGGAGGCGCAACGCACAAGUGGUCUGCGUGGCGAGCCCGCUCGGCAGAUGAAGCCCACGGCGAGAGGAGCCCCUCGCCCCUCCCUGCCCAACGCACCCCGCGACCCCCGCCAGUGCCCCCCGCCCUCGGCACGGCCCCUCCCGCUCCCUGAUGAGAAGCUCACCUGUCCCUGUCGCUCCUGCUAAAUUUAGUUGAGGAUUUCGAGGUGGGCGAGGUCAAAGGGCAAUUUUCUUCCUUUGAAGAAAUCGACAUCCAAGUUGUAUCGUCCCCAUGCCAGCAACAACGCGAUUUGCCUCAGGACCGGAGAGGCGGGUAACGAGAACUCCGUCGAUUUCGAACGGCGUGCGGCACAAGAUGAAGGACCGGAGGGCGCGUAAACAGUCGGCACUCGACGGGGGGGCCGCAGGACCGUCGCAACAAGAGCCGAUUUGGAUUGUGAAUGGCCCGCGCGGCCCCCGGUCUCCGGUUCCGCCGCCAGCGUAAACCGAUCCGGACCUCGAAAACCUGGGCCGAGUGAAGCUAUAAACGUCCUCAUCUUCCUUUGUCAUUCGUCUUCUUUUUCUUACCAGCCAAUUGUCAUCGAUUAGGAUGCAAGAAGCCACGCCCCCGACGAGGGCAGUCGGCAAAAAGCGGCCCGCCCGCAAUCUCGACCUCCCCUAAGCUCCGCCGAAUGCCCCACUGAAGGUCAAAGGGCAAGUGUUUUCACAUGCUUGUCCCAGUCGCACUAAUGACUUGACAGCUGCUCCCACACACAAUCAUUGCAUGUUCCACUGUGUACGCUCGUCUUUGUGUCCCAAGUCUGAAGUGUGUGUUUGUGCGUUGCUGUCGGUAUGUAGUGCCCGUGUGCGCGUGUCUAUUUACAUAUUGUGUUUAUGAAUGUGUGAGACUGCGUCUGUGUACGUGUGUAACCACUUUCGUGCAUCUAUGUGCAAUUUGUGUCCGACACCGAGUUUAUAUAUAUGCAUGCGUGUUCUACUGUGUAUAUUUGUGUAACUCUAUGACUGACAAUCUACUUUGUCUGACAACAAGUCGAUGUGUUGAGCACGUGUAGCAUGGUGUGCGAGUGUGUACGUACGUGCGGCGCCGUAUGGAAGACGACGCCUUUUCAGUCCGAUAUGCACGUUUUGCCGUUUGAAUAUUGGUUGUUUCCACGUCGCCAUUUUGCCAGUCGUUUGACAGCAUUUUGAUUGGUUUUUCGAGACUCGCAGACCAGGGGUCUCGUUCGAUGGGUCUCGUCCCUUGUCUGAGACGCACAAAAAUGAGCAGGGACUCAUGACGCAUAUUCAAUCUGCAUCUGUGUGUGUGUGAAUGAAAGAAAAAAAGCAAAUCCAAAGUACUGUCUUGGUGCUAGCCAAUCAGAGGCAGAGUAUGGCAGCUUAUGGUUCCCGAGUAUGGACACGAUACAUUUCCAUUGUUGUGGUAAGACCCUCCACGCCGCAGCAAGCCGCUGGCGGAACGGCGUUUAGCUAACGAGCUAACACGCUACAAGGGCUGGAGCUAAAAAGCUCCCUCGACCGCGUUUGACAUCGUUCAAACGUUAGCGCUCGGAGGUGGUGUGUGUGUGUGUGUGUGUGUAUAUUCCUCGCAUAACACGCACGCCCAUAACCACAGUCGCCCACGUUAACAAUGUUCAGGCAGUUGUUGGCUUUGGCGAACUAAUUUUUUAUUAAGCCUUUAUUUAACCAGGUAAAAGCUUGUUGAUAGAUAAAAUCUCUUUUUUCAAAAGCCAAGAGGCAUCACAAAUUAUAAGGAAGCAGAAUUAUACAGUACACAAAACGACAACAUUCAUACAAUCAACAACAAUAAAGACUAAAAAGUAACAGUGAUAUUCAAAUGUACGACAUCUGAUUUAAAAAUAAAUGCUUUUAAGUGUUUUUUUUUUUUUUAAUUCAUUCAAAUUUGGCAGGCUUUAAGACAUUUUUGAGGCCUCUUUAGUGCGUUAAUGACUCCAUCCAUUUUCUGAGCCGCUCCUCCUCACGCGCGUCGCAGGCGUGCUGAAGCCUAUCCCAGCUAUCA